AAUAAUUUUUGUUGAUGGCGACCAGGUGGUUCGUACUGAUAUGAAGGAAUUGUUGGAGGAGCCAUUGGAUAAAGCACCUUAUGGAUACACUCCUUUCUGUGAUAGUCGUACUGAUAUGGAUGGAUUCAGUGCUAGUGACAUCAAUAGGUAUACAAUAUCAGGUGAUGAGUGAUGAAGGAUAAUGUCCUGAUGACUGUCCGUUAAUUGACUGAUCACUUCCUGACACUGACCUGCUGAUGGUUUUGUGAGGGUUACAUAACUACUGCCCCACAUCACCUCUCCAGUCUCUUCUCCUAAUAAUAAA
This is a long non-coding RNA of Amphimedon queenslandica, 304 nucleotides long. RefSeq lists it as uncharacterized. The transcript has 3 exons. Lineage: Eukaryota; Metazoa; Porifera; Demospongiae; Haplosclerida; Niphatidae. The record is from RefSeq and is a predicted model, not a curated record.